GCCUAUGCCGGCCUACUACCUAAACACAUGCAAGUCGAGCGGUAGCACAGAGAGCUUGCUCUCGGGUGACGASCGGCGGACGGGUGAGUAAUGUCUGGGAAACUGCCUGAUGRAGGGGGAUAACUACUGGAAACGGUAGCUAAUACCGCAUAACGUCGCAAGACCAAAGUGGGGGACCUUCGGGCCUCAUGCCAUCAGAUGUGCCCAGAUGGGAUUAGCUAGUAGGUGGGGUAACGGCUCACCUAGGCGACGAUCCCUAGCUGGUCUGAGAGGAUGACCAGCCACACUGGAACUGAGACACGGUCCAGACUCCUACGGGAGGCAGCAGUGGGGAAUAUUGCACAAUGGGCGCAAGCCUGAUGCAGCCAUGCCGCGUGUGUGAAGAAGGCCUUCGGGUUGUAAAGCACUUUCAGCGGGGAGGAAGGCGAUAAGGUUAAUAACCUUGUCGAUUGACGUUACCCGCAGAAGAAGCACCGGCUAACUCCGUGCCAGCAGCCGCGGUAAUACGGAGGGUGCAAGCGUUAAUCGGAAUUACUGGGCGUAAAGCGCACGCAGGCGGUCUGUCAAGUCGGAUGUGAAAUCCCCGGGCUCAACCUGGGAACUGCAUUCGAAACUGGCAGGCUAGAGUCUUGUAGAGGGGGGUAGAAUUC
RNAcentral lists this ribosomal RNA (650 nucleotides) under Klebsiella sp. AL12. RNAcentral's name for it is "bacterial SSU rRNA". It matches the Rfam family "Bacterial small subunit ribosomal RNA", at positions 29 to 669 of the family's 1533-position model. The record is from RNAcentral. Lineage: Bacteria; Pseudomonadati; Pseudomonadota; Gammaproteobacteria; Enterobacterales; Enterobacteriaceae.